This 486-nucleotide ribosomal RNA is filed under the name uncultured bacterium. Its description in RNAcentral is "partial 16S ribosomal RNA". It matches the Rfam family "Bacterial small subunit ribosomal RNA", at positions 28 to 507 of the family's 1533-position model. The record is from RNAcentral.
GAUGAACGCUGGCGGCGUGCCUAAUACAUGCAAGUCGAACGCUGGAGAUCUAGCUUGCUAGAUCGAAGGAGUGGCGAACGGGUGAGUAAUACAUAAGCAACCUACCCACGAAGACUGGGAUAAUCUCUGGAAACGGGGACUAAUACCGGAUAGGUAAUCGGAAGGCAUCUUCUGGUUAUUAAAGGUUAAAAACACUGGUGGAUGGGCUCAUGGCGCAUUAGUUAGUUGGUGAGGUAACGGCCCACCAAGACGAUGAUGCGUAGCCGGCCUGAGAGGGUGAACGGCCACAUUGGGACUGAGACACGGCCCAGACUCCUACGGGAGGCAGCAGUAGGGAAUUUUCGGCAAUGGGGGCAACCCUGACCGAGCAACGCCGCGUGAGUGAAGACGGCCUUCGGGUUGUAAAGCUCUGUUGUAAGGGAAGAACGGUAGAUAGAGAAUAUCUAAGUGACGGUACCUUACCAGAAAGCCACGGCUAACUACGUG